AUACAGAGGGUGCAAGCGUUAAUCGGAUUUACUGGGCGUAAAGCGCGCGUAGGUGGCUAAUUAAGUCAAAUGUGAAAUCCCCGAGCUUAACUUGGGAAUUGCAUUCGAUACUGGUUAGCUAGAGUAUGGGAGAGGAUGGUAGAAUUCCAGGUGUAGCGGUGAAAUGCGUAGAGAUCUGGAGGAAUACCGAUGGCGAAGGCAGCCAUCUGGCCUAAUACUGACACUGAGGUGCGAAAGCAUGGGAGCAAACAGGAUUAGAUACCCUGGUAGUCCAUGCCGUAAACGAUGUCUACUAGCCGUUGGGGCCCUUGAGGCUUUAGUGGCGCAGCUAACGCGAUAAGUAGACCGCCUGGGGAGUACGGUCGCAAGACUAAAACUCAAAUGAAUUGACGGGG
This 395-nucleotide ribosomal RNA is filed under the name uncultured bacterium. Its description in RNAcentral is "partial 16S ribosomal RNA". It matches the Rfam family "Bacterial small subunit ribosomal RNA", at positions 523 to 918 of the family's 1533-position model. The record is from RNAcentral.